UUCCUUAAACACGUCGUUUUCUUUUCACGACGUUUCACCACCGCCAUCUUUCCUUCUGCCGCUACCCUUUUCACCACCGUCCUCUUUCCCUCUCCGUCGUCGCCGCCCUCUUCAUCUCUCUGACGCAGCUGCCUUCCACCACCGCCGUCAAUUUUGCCAUUCUUACAUCUGUCGUAAUAUUUCAGCAAAUUCAAUCUCAAAUCAAUCAAACAGUUUGUAACACCAAUUGAAUCCUCAACCUUUAUUUGAUUUUCACCUCGAUUAAAGUAGUGUUUGGAUUUUGUAUUUGCCCAAUGGUUCUUCAAUUACCUUCUUUGUUUAUUGCUCGACAUUUUAUGUUCUGGUGGCCGGAGGAGUGAGUGUCACAGCAAUGACGAGAGUAAGAUGAAAACACGAAGAAGAAAAGGUUUGCGACGACGAUGAUACAUGUGGUUUCAACGGAGGCGUUGGAGAGCGGCGGCAGAGAAAGGGAAGAGGGGCGGUGGUGUAGUGGAAAAAGCAGGGAUCUGACACUGUUUGUGCGGAAGAGAAACAUAACGGUUUUUAUUUUGUUUAAUUAAAUAAAUAAUUAUUUUUAAUUUAAAAUCUCAGCCUUUGGAUGUUUUUUUGCCACAUGUCUUGCAUCCAAACCCCUAAAUAGACUAAAUUGAGCAUACCUGAACCCCUAUUUUAACAAUGUGAGAUCCACUACGAGUGUAUUCAAUGAAUCUACUUUUCUCCACAAAGGCCCAUUUGUUUUUAAGAAAAAUUCUACAAUGAAGUCACGAUAAUGACUUUUCUGGUGAAGUUAAAUGACCAAUUAUUUAAUCUAUAUCACGUCAGAUUAUAUGGUGUAUUGCACAUUUGCCCAUAAAGUGUGUCAUUAUAUCAAUUGUAUCUUUGAUUAAAUCAAAGUUAAACAAAAUAACUUUUCCAAAAAAAUCAAUUUUCUGACUGCACUGUAGAAUCCCACUAGUUUUUAAUCAGCACUUACUUAUGUACAACUAAGGCUUAAUGAAUUAAGCUAUUUUGUUUAUCAAAUAAUAUAGUGAUUAAUAAGGACUAAACUAUCGUUCAUACAUAUAACAAUGCAUUAUUUCUGUCAGCCGAGCACCUAACAAGGACUAAUCAAUUAAGCUCUUACCUCUUACCAAACGGGUGUUUGUGGAAAGUUUAAGCUUGUGAAUCGCGAGUUCAUGACCCUUUAUUAGCGUUGACACGAGGCACUAUCCCUGUGUUUAUAAUAAAAAAAUGUAGGAAAGGACCUGCCGGCCCACUCCUCCAUUCCACAGCUAGCAACGUGCUACCCUCCCUCUCCUCGUGGCUGAUGUCUUUUUACUUUGAAACUAAUAAUAGCAUAUUUUAUAAUAAAACGAGUUCUACGAUGCUGUCCUAAUAAGAAAACAAAUUUAAAUCAGUCAUUUUUUAUAAAAUAAAGCUAACUUCUAUUUUUGUGCCUCGUAAAUUCACUUUUUCAUUUAAAUUUUUUUUAUAGUCAAAUACAUAGAAAUGCAUAAAGUAUAAUUGUUGACUAAAAUUUGAUAAUUUUACUCAGUCUACUCCUUUUGUCUCAAAGACUAAAAUUCGAUAACUUCAUGCAUAAAGUAUAAUUUCUUUGGAACCAUGUGAACAAUUUUAGGGCAAACUUCAGAAAGUUGUAAUAUUAUGGGAGUACAUAUUAGUUUGAGUACAGGCACUUACCUUUGUCUCCCUUGCUAGCGUGUCUCUUUAAUUUAGUUAUGUGAUUGUGAUGAACUGAUGAUAGAGUAAGAUCAAAAGUUUACUACUCACCGUAAUUACUGAAUGAAGAAUGAGUAAUAUUAUUGUUGGACACUACACUGUUGCAUGUCACCAGAAAUUGACACUUAAACAAGAAGUUGAAGGUUUUUGCUCAAAGUGAAGAAUCUUCUUCGGUGUAUAUGACGAAAUUAUGUGUCUAAUAGAUUUAGACUUUGAGACAAAAGAGUAGAAUCUGCUUCCGUGAUCUAGGAGAGGAUGGAAAGCUACACCUUUAAUUUAACCAGAGUCUUUCUUAUUGAUAGAGCAACGUACAUCGAUCCUUUUGUAAUGAUGUAAAUUUAUUACUUUCUCAAGGAUUUGGAUUUUCUUAUUUACAACUCGAGCAUAGUACUAUAGUGAUAGAGUCACAACAUUCAAACAUGUGAUAUAACAUCAUUGAACAACCAUGCAAUAUUGGUCGCGAUCCCAAAACAUUUAUCUUGUCAUGCUGCUGCUGUCUGCUCCUAGGGACAAGUGGACUUCAAAUAUAAAGCUUGUUAGCCGUAGUGCAAUAUUGAUGCUUCUUUCACCUUGAGGCAAAAUCAUGUUGGCAUUGAAGUGUGUGUCUGCAUGGGGAUGAAGGGUGUUCUGUUCUUGCCAAAAUGGAAGGGUGGAAGCCUCUAACUUUGGCGGUUGAAAGAAAAGUGCCUUGUCUUUGAUUUGUUGAAUAAUGUUGACUUUGAGCUUGAUUGCAAAAUAUUGGUGGAUGCUUUUCACAACCCAAAGAUGAUGUCUCAGAGUUUUGUUUCAUAAAUGUGGAUUGUUUUGUUGGCAGAUUUUAUUCUGUAUUGAAAAUUUCUAAAGUUGUUUUUAUUAGAGACAAAUCUACUAUUUGGUCGUCUGUCUUAACUCAAACAACCACAUUCUUAUAGUUGGUUUCCAUUUUAUAUUCUCA
RNAcentral lists this long non-coding RNA (2653 nucleotides) under Medicago truncatula (barrel medic). RNAcentral describes it as "long non-coding RNA (MTRU_LNC002566)". The record is from RNAcentral. Lineage: Eukaryota; Viridiplantae; Streptophyta; Magnoliopsida; Fabales; Fabaceae.